UACGUAGGGUGCGAGCGUUGUCCGGAAUUAUUGGGCGUAAAGGGCUCGUAGGCGGUCUGUCACGUCGGGGAGUGAAAAACUCGGGGGCUCAACUCCGAGCUUGCAGUCGAUACGGGGCAGGCUAGAGUUCGGCAGGGGGAGGCUGGAAUUCCUGGUGUAGCGGGUGAAAAUGCGCAGAUAUCAGGAGGAACACCGGUGGCGAAAGGCGGGGUCUCUGGGGCCGUAAACUGACGCUGAGGGAGCGAAAAGCGUGGGGGAGCGAAACAGG
Molecule: ribosomal RNA, 268 nt
Filed under: uncultured bacterium
Lineage: Bacteria
Description: partial 16S ribosomal RNA
Rfam family: Bacterial small subunit ribosomal RNA
Source: RNAcentral